CCAAAGCCUCCUUCCGUGAAGUGCUGGAAUGCGGAUGUAUGCAAUGACACGGCAAAACCCUCCAGGGAGGGACAGGACAUGGGAAAAUCCUUAUCUCCAGUACAGUCACGUCACAGGCAGGACCCUACUGACGAGGCUUGGACAAACUCCCAGAGCCAAGCUACUUGAAUGUGGCAGGUACGUAUGGAGGCUUUUAAAACUGAGAGUUUAAGUGAUUCCUUCACAGGGAGAGACAAGAAUUUGGUGUCACAGUAACUUUUCCAGGUGACUAAGGUCCAAAGGAGACACGAAGACUUAACAUGAUGGCAGAAGGGCCCUCCAAAGCCACGGGCGGGCAGGCAGGUUCCAGAGCUCACGGACCUGCCCCAGUUCCUGUGCCCAGGGAGCUGAUGAAAGCCCCUCUGACCCUGAACUUGUGAUGCUUCCAAGGCUCAGGUCUUCCUGUUCCAAUUCCACAGGACUUCUUCAUGAUUCUGGUGAAGGCUACGGACUCUCUUCAGAAGAUCAAUUCACACGUAUACAUAAAACUUUACCCAUACAUCCCCAGCUUGUGCAUGGCCCCCUGGGGUUCUGCAGAACAGGCAACUCCAUUAAAGUGCUGGAAUGGGCUCUUCAGAGAAAAGCCCUCUCCAUUUUGUGCUGGAAAAGUAAGUAGCGGCAUCCUCCGCAAGCCCGUGGCCCUGACACUCCUUUGCUAUGAAGGUAAGUCGAUUCUCCCAAGGAGACAGGAACUGAAGAGCUCAGCGAGAGGCAGAGCCCGCCCUCAGAGCUGCCAUGGCUGAUCCCUAACAGGAAAAUUACCACCCCGGUCUCUGCGCUGCAAACCCUAAGAGGACAGCCUACGCCCUGUCACUCCUGCGUGUACAACUUUGCCGGAAGUACAGCAGUGCCAUCUCCGCUGCCCUGAAUCCACACGUCUCUCAGAGACACACACACACACACACACACACGCACACACACACACACACACACUCCCUUUAAGUUGGGGGUUCAUAUCGUCUUGUGGCAAGAUGUGUCUUCCUUCUAAGGCAAGAGAUCCAAAACUUUAGAGAAAAUCGUGCGGCAGAGAAUCAAGCAAAGGGACUUGAAACAUACGGACCUGAUUGCACUCCAAAUGCACAGGCAGAGCGAAAUGGACCGGGGGAAAAUCACCGGUGCCCGAGGAAAAGCUGGAGGCUCUGCCAAACCCCAAACGUUUCCCGAGCAGCUGGAGAGUGUCAGCAAAGCCCACUGGCUCUCACAGCGAUGCAGAAGAACAGCGGGAGCUUUCUUGGUUCUCUGGGCUAUGGCAGCCGGUGGCCACCCUGCUGCUCCCUCCGGGGACACCACUGCCCCCACGCUCAGCUGGCUCCACCCAGGGGCCUGUGGCUGCACCAGAAGUGGCCGUCUUGGGACCUUGCUGCAUUUGUCAAGGGGGAACAACGUGACUCUGGUGGGUGGCAGAGGCCAUGUGGAGACUGGUCUGCGUGUCCUGGGGAGUCUUCCUAACCCACCUCCAUGCACACCGUCUGCCCGUUUGCGUGAGGACAAGGAACUUAAGUUGGGUCUUUGGGGAGCCUUUGGGCUGGAACCAACUUACUUUAUCAAGACAAGAACCCCUUGUCAGCAAAUAAAGUGAGAGCUCUCUGUCCGUAGGAUGGUGGGAUUAAUGCCUUCUCACCCAUGUCACGGAGCUGAAGUUGGGGAGAAAAUGAGAUCAUGGGAAAUUUCUGGAAGGUGAAAGUGCCAUGUGCAAGGCAGUAUGCCUGUUCUUUGUCAGGAGUUUUUACAUGAAAUCAUUUCAGAAGGAGUUUUACUGCCCUCCUGAGAUCCCUCAUAGGGAGAUGGAGAAUUUGCUUCCUCCAGAGCCUGCUGAGUGUGUGCUCUCUGAGUCCAGAUAUCCACGGCCCUCGGAGGACUCAGUGCCACAGGGAAGGAGUUUCUGACCAACAGACCCCAAAGUCGCUUUCAGGCAGCUGUGCCCCUCACGCCCUCCAAGCCCAGGGUCUCCAAGCUGUGGCUGAGAACCCACCCAUCUCUCUUUCCAGAGACCGGAGCUUUUAUGAGGGCUGAUACCCCAUCCCAGGGACCCCAGGAGCAGGGCAAGGGGCUUCCCACUGACACCUCCAGGGAAAGACACAUGCUCUCUGCUGUCCCAAAGAGCUGCUGUCCUCUCCUGCCCUUGAUCAGGUAGGUGGUACCUGGAAAAUAGGGUUGCCACCCAGCCCCCCAGAGUCAUUCUUUAGCAUAAUCAGCCUGGAACUUCAAAGCAUCCCCCCCUGCCAGCACAAUUCCAAUUACACACUCCCUCAUCUAAUCGACAGUGGCGAUCUGUGAGGCCGAUGCUACUUUCCCACCAGUUCUUCCCAAUCAUUCCACUUGUGCUGACAGCCCCUUAUCUUCUGAAAGCCAAAACGGAUGCUGGCCCUGGAGGCUGGCUUGCGCCGUCCCGGCAGGUUGGCCGAGCCCCACAAGAAGUCCCAUCAGAUACAGCUUCCUAGCUCCCCCCCCCCCCAACCCCAUUCAUCCAAGGCAGAGAGGGCUCUCCCUGCAUUUCAAGCAGGGAACUCAUUAUCUUCCUUUAUAUUCCAUUCCUGCAACAUUUCUGUGCUAGGCACUGGGACCCAAAAAAUGAGUAAGAAAGAUGAAAAGGAGCUCACAGUUUAGUAGAAGAAACCAACCAGGAAAUGAGUGAUUAUGGGAUCUAAUAGAUAUAGUAUCUAAUAGAAGGAUAAACAAUGAGAGUGCAAAGGAGGGGCUGCCCAACUGACUUGGGCGUGGUAGGGAGCUCUGCUGAAGAGGUGACAUUUGGGCAGGGUUCUGAAGCAUGUGUAAGAGUUCACCUCUUCAUUCAGAAGCUUUGGGUCCCAUUUAGAAAAUGGUCUAAAACGAGGGUGUUUUUAAAAAAUUCCUUUAUUUGAAAUGCAAUUUGAAUUUUAAAAGAUUUGCACUGUUCAAAAAAUAAAAUAAAAUAAAACAAGGGUGUUUAA
Long non-coding RNA from Balaenoptera ricei (Rice's whale), 2969 nucleotides. RefSeq lists it as uncharacterized. The record is from RefSeq and is a predicted model, not a curated record. Lineage: Eukaryota; Metazoa; Chordata; Mammalia; Artiodactyla; Balaenopteridae. The transcript is spliced from 3 exons.